AGCAGGAUGCAAUUGACAGUGAAACCAUAGGUGAUAGUUGAGCCACAAGAUGGAAGGAUCCCAGGCCUCUGAAUCACCAAUAAGGCAGUUAUCUGCUGACUCUUAGAUAGUUUGGUAUGCAUACGGUUUUCUCUUGGACGUUAGUCUUGGUACUCAUCACCUCUGAAGAACAACAAGCCGCAGUAUAGCAUGCCUUUGGAGGACUGGAAAAGGUAGCCAAGAGGUUUUAUGGUGUGUCUGUAAAGGGACUACGUGGUGUGAACUGCUGCCUCCUCACUCUGCUAAGGAUCAG
Long non-coding RNA from Molossus molossus (Pallas's mastiff bat), 292 nucleotides. RefSeq lists it as uncharacterized. Lineage: Eukaryota; Metazoa; Chordata; Mammalia; Chiroptera; Molossidae. The transcript has 3 exons. The record is from RefSeq and is a predicted model, not a curated record.